AAUCUUCCACAAUGGACGCAAGUCUGAUGGAGCAACGCCGCGUGAGUGAAGAAGGUCUUCGGAUCGUAAAACUCUGUUGUUAGAGAAGAACACGAGUGAGAGUAACUGUUCAUUCGAUGACGGUAUCUAACCAGCAAGUCACGGCUAACUACGUGCCAGCAGCCGCGGUAAUACGUAGGUGGCAAGCGUUGUCCGGAUUUAUUGGGCGUAAAGGGAACGCAGGCGGUCUUUUAAGUCUGAUGUGAAAGCCUUCGGCUUAACCGGAGUAGUGCAUUGGAAACUGGAAGACUUGAGUGCAGAAGAGGAGAGUGGAACUCCAUGUGUAGCGGUGAAAUGCGUAGAUAUAUGGAAGAACACCAGUGGCGAAAGCGGCUCUCUGGUCUGUAACUGACGCUGAGGUUCGAAAGCGUGGGUAGCAAACAG
This 423-nucleotide ribosomal RNA is filed under the name uncultured bacterium. RNAcentral describes it as "partial 16S ribosomal RNA". It matches the Rfam family "Bacterial small subunit ribosomal RNA", at positions 360 to 775 of the family's 1533-position model. The record is from RNAcentral.